UUGCUGUUGGCUUCAUUUGAUAAGGUCUGCAGACUAAGAGGAGCCAUGCCCAGACAUGAUAAAAAGAUUAUGGAGCACCACUCACAGAUCCUGGACUCAACAAUGGAUGCAGUCACUGGAUGGAACUUUUGGCCAUUAAUUGAGUGCCUACCAUAUAGACACUGGGACCACAAUGAAGAAGAUAACCACUGAUCCUGUGGAACUUUUAGCUAAUGGAAAUCAAUUCCUGAGUAUCCAUGUAAUAUUGGAUGCUCAGCAUUAUUUAUCGGGACUCAUUAAUUGAUAUUUCAUAGGAAUUUAAGAAUGUUUUCUCAAGGAAAAGCUCAUUAUUCUGAUUGAAUUCAAGAAAAUAUUUCUUACUGAGUUUAGUGAUAUAAAACCACAUGAAACUAACAGUAUCUGAUUAAGACCAAUAGCCAAGUUCAUUUUUAAUGUCUUUAUCCUACAAAUCAACAAAACUUGUCAGUGAAAAGAGGAAUAUUGAUCAAUCACUUGAAUGUUUCAUUAAAUCCAAAUCUUUUGUAUAACAGUGAAAAAGUAUUUAAUGUUUGGAUGGUUUAAUUUAUCUUCAUCUGUAUGGGCUUUUUCUGUUAUUUGGGCCACUAAUGUGUUUUAGUUUAGUUUUUUGGUUUUGGGUGUUUUCUGUCUUUUUUUUUUUUUUUUUUUUUUUUGGUAAAGUCAUUGUGUUCUCUCUUGGUCUUCUGCUUUCAACUAUCAGGUUGCCAAUUCAAUUACUCACAAAUCUCUCUGAAAAAUAUUUUGAAA
RNAcentral lists this long non-coding RNA (765 nucleotides) under Homo sapiens (human). RNAcentral's name for it is "HSALNT0108595". The record is from RNAcentral. Lineage: Eukaryota; Metazoa; Chordata; Mammalia; Primates; Hominidae.